UACGUAGGGUGCGAGCGUUAACCGGAAUUACUGGGCGUAAAGCGUGCGCAGGCGGCCGUGCAAGUCGAGUGUGAAAGCCCCGAGCUUAACUUGGGAAUUGCGCUCGAAACUACGUGGCUGGAGUGUGGCAGAGGAAGGUGGAAUUCCAGGUGUAGCGGUGAAAUGCGUAGAGAUCUGGAGGAACACCGAUGGCGAAGGCAGCCUUCUGGGCCAUCACUGACGCUCAUGCACGAAAGCCAGGGGAGCAAACGGG
Molecule: ribosomal RNA, 253 nt
Filed under: uncultured bacterium
Lineage: Bacteria
Description: partial 16S ribosomal RNA
Rfam family: Bacterial small subunit ribosomal RNA
Source: RNAcentral